RNAcentral lists this ribosomal RNA (301 nucleotides) under uncultured bacterium. Its description in RNAcentral is "partial 16S ribosomal RNA". It matches the Rfam family "Bacterial small subunit ribosomal RNA", at positions 509 to 807 of the family's 1533-position model. The record is from RNAcentral.
CAGCAGCCGCGGUAAUACGUAGGGGGCAAGCGUUAUCCGGAUUUACUGGGUGUAAAGGGAGCGCAGGCGGUCUGGCAAGUUGAGAGUGGAAGCAGGGGGCUCAACCCCCUGACUGCUCCCAAAACUGUUGGACUGGAGUAUGGGAGAGGCAGGCGGAAUUCCUAGUGUAGCGGUGAAAUGCUCAGAUAUUAGGAAGAACACCGGUGGCGAAGGCGGCCUGCUGGACCAAAACUGACGCUGAGGCUCGAGAGCGUGGGGAGCGAACAGGAUUAGAUACCCGCGUAGUCCCUGUCUCUUAUAC